GCUAAUCCGACACAAAAACGUUCUGUCAGUUGUGAAAAAAAAGAAAAUUUAGAGGAGUGGAAUAUUGAGAGUUAUUUUAUAUUUAAAAAAGAAUUUUUCGAACAAAACGAGGGUCUGAUCCGGAAGCUAAUUGCUGACCGAGCAUACGACGAUGUGCCUGUCGGGAGUCUACUGUCCCACCCAACACGGAUGACUUAACGGAAGAUUCCAUUAAGUUCUCCAACGCUGCUCCAGCUCCUCAUCUGUUCUGCGACCUACAAAGAAGCCGGGAAGGUGGAAGCUGCUCUGGUUCAGCCGUCACCACAGAAGAUCCCCACUUAAGUCAAAUCCAAUGCAACCGGAACACCCAAACAACCAUAAGCCGCCAACAUAUCAGUUUACAUAGAUGCCAGCCAUGUCUGGGCUUCAUCCUUUUAGCGGUAGCUUGGCGUGUAUCCUCGCUUCAGUGGAAACCAGCAAUCUCAUUUCGUGUAGUGGAUCCAGCUGACUGCCCUUCUGCGAGCUGCUACCACUGUCUAACGAGAUCCGACUCCACGUGGUCGGGCAAAAUGGACAUGCCAUCAACGGAAAAAUUAAAACAAACAUGCCAAGCUAUUUUAACCGCAGCUGUUCGCCGAAGGGUUCAUCGGAAAGAAUUCCAAUAAGGUGCAGUUUUGCUGCAGUUGCGGGCGAUGGCCAGCACGUGGCGAGGAUCAGUCGUAAUUGAGCACCGGCCCAGAUCUGGUGGCAGCAGUCUCUCCACUCCUGAAUAAAGUUUUAAUAAUGUGGAGCACUUGUUCACCCGAGUUUAUCUGUCCGGAUUGGCGGUGCAGGUUAGGAACUUGAGGACAAUUGCGCCGGGGACAAAGUGCAGAAGUAAGUAAGCUAGUGCCAUCUGUUUAAAACGCUGUCCAACAGUUGGACAGUUGAAACUUUUCUCAUUUUCGAACUCGAGGUGGAACUGUAGUUUGCGGUGUUGGUGGCCACUGUUGGCCGUCUAUACAGCACUCGAAAUGAA
Culex pipiens pallens (northern house mosquito) is the source of this 997-nucleotide long non-coding RNA. RefSeq lists it as uncharacterized. The record is from RefSeq and is a predicted model, not a curated record. The transcript has 4 exons. Lineage: Eukaryota; Metazoa; Arthropoda; Insecta; Diptera; Culicidae.